This 2006-nucleotide long non-coding RNA is filed under the name Salvia miltiorrhiza (redroot sage). RNAcentral describes it as "long non-coding RNA (SMIL_LNC007527)". The record is from RNAcentral. Lineage: Eukaryota; Viridiplantae; Streptophyta; Magnoliopsida; Lamiales; Lamiaceae.
GCUAAAGUCUUCUAUCAAGUGGACCUACAAGAUAAUCUAAUCUUAAUAGGCCUCAAAAUAUCGUCUCUGCUACUAUUUCCAUAAAAUUCUUAAAUUCUAGUUCGGCAAUUAAUCGACCUCUCAUUAAACAUAACUAAAUCCCAAUUUCAAAAUACUUAUUGCAAAAGUAUAGCUUAAAACUUUUGAACUCUUCUGCAAACUCAUGCUAUAAUCACAGAUCUAAAAUCCCAUACUUAAUGCAUAAUAAUAUUUAGAGUUAAUGGGCUCAAUUAGCCGUUCUUAUAUAAGAAAAGGAAAAAAUGUCCACCCAAAUAAAAAUAUGGAAAAACUAGCCUUUUCUAACGUAAAUGUACAAUUAUACCCUUAAUACUGUUACACACUUUUUCGCAAAAGUUUGUAAUAACAUAAAGUGUGUAACUGCGAAAAGUGUGUAACAGUGUAUUUUACACUGUUACACACUUUUCACAAAAGUGUGUAAUAAUGUAAAAGUAUGUGGUUGCGAAAAAGUGUGUAACAAUGUAAAAUACACUAUUACACACUUUUUCGUUUCUAAAAAGUGUGUAAUAGUAUAUUUUAUAUUGUUACACACUAAAAGGGUAUUUUAGUCAGAAAUGCUAUUAUUUCCAUAUUUUUAUUUGUAUGACUAGAAUUUCCUAUGACUAAAAGGUUUUGGCUAGACUAGGGUGCUGCCUCUAAUAUUUAUUAUGCAACUUUGAAUAAAUAACCAAGCCAAGGCUCAAAUUAAUCAAAAUAAAAUAAAAUAAAAACUUAAGUCCAAAUCUCUUAGUAUGAGCCCAAGUUUAAUCAAAUAAUUCUCAUGCAUCUGGCCCAAUUUUAAAAAAACUGAAGCCCAAAAAAUGAGGGCCCAAAUCAACCCAUCCCUUCCUCUUUUAAUUCUCUGGAUCGGUCUCUCUCUCUCUAUCCCAGCUCUCACCUUCCAUUCCUCCUUUCUCCCUCUGAAAUCUGCAGCCGCCUCGCCACUUCUCCAUCGCCGGCGACAACAGCGAUGUCGCCGUCGCGCCUCACUUUUCCCCCUCUCCGUUCUCCCCAUCUUGCUUCUCUCUCUCAAAGAGGAAAUCCCUAAAUUCCAAAAUCCCUAAAUCUGCCCCCUCCCAUCUCCUUCUCUCGGUUGGACGGUCAACGGCAAAGGGCCGCCACCACCGCCGACUCCAUCUCCUUCACGCCGACAACAGCAGCAGCCGUCAUCGCCGUCCAGCUACCUCCUUCCUCCGUCCGACCAGAGCAGCACAGCAGCGGCCGAAGCCACCGCACCGCUGCCCCUUCUUUCUUCCGCCAGCCGACGCCCUCCGCCAGCAACAGCGCACGGCGGCGCUAUUCAGCCGCCGCCUUCCGCCUGUUCUAUGCCACAAACUCCCAUCUCCAGUUUCUUCUCCUAUUUUUCCCUUUCUGUGAUAUUAAUAAUAUCUCUGUUCUAUUUGAUUUCCUUAUGAAAAUUACAGAAAAUGGAUGUAUGCAUGUUUUGAUUUGAAAACAGAAUUCUGUUGUAAAGUUUUGGUUUUUUGGCAGAAUUGAGAAACUAUGAAUGAAAUAACUUUGCAAAAAUAAUACUCCCUCGUCCACGAAAUGAGUACCCAUUUGGGGUGGCACGGGUUUUAAGAAAUUGAUUAAAUGUGUGAGUGAAAUAAGGGACCCACUUUUAUUGUGGGUGGGAUGUGUGGGGUACACUUACCAAAAAAGGAAAUGGGUACUCAUUUGGUGGACGGACCAAAAAGGAAAUAUGGGUACUCAUUUCGUGGACGGAGGGAGUAAAAUUUACCGGCUGGGAUUUUGUAGGGAGAAUCUGCAAAUUGAGUGCAGUGGUGUAAGAAGUUAGUCGGUUGCUGGGUUUUUGGAUUGGGGAUGAUAAAAGUGCAGUUUGAAUAGUAUGAAUUGGGUGAAGAGUUAAGCUGCGUCGUGUGUGAUCGAAUGGGCGAGAAUGGGUGAUAGUUAUAGGGGAAACUGGCAGGAAGAAGAAGACGUGGAAGUACCCCUAUCAUGCAUUAAAC